Molecule: ribosomal RNA, 375 nt
Filed under: uncultured fungus
Lineage: Eukaryota; Fungi
Description: eukaryotic LSU rRNA
Rfam family: Eukaryotic large subunit ribosomal RNA
Source: RNAcentral
AUAUCAAUAAGCGGAGGAAAAGAAACUAACAAGGAUUCCCCUAGUAACUGCGAGUGAAGCGGGAAAAGCUCAAAUUUAAAAUCUGGCAGUCCGAGUUUGGCUGUCCGAGUUGUAAUCUAGAGAAGUACUUAUCCGCGCUGGACCGUGUACAAGUCUCCUUGGAACGGAGCGUCGUAGAGGGUGACAAUCCCGUCUUUGACACGGACUGCCAGGGCUUAUGUGAUAUGCGCUCUCGAAAGAGUCGAGUUGUUUGGGAAUGCAGCUCAAAAUGGGUGGUAAAUUCCAUCUAAAGCUAAAUAUUGGCGAGAGACCGAUAGCGAACAAGUACCGUGAGGGAAAGAUGAAAAGAACUUUGAAAAGAGAGUUAAACAGUAC